UACGAAGGGGGCUAGCGUUGCUCGGAAUGACUGGGCGUAAAGGGCGCGUAGGCGGAUGGUACAGUCAGAUGUGAAAUUCCUGGGCUUAACCUGGGGGCUGCAUUUGAUACGUGUUGUCUAGAGUGAGGAAGAGGGUCGUGGAAUUCCCAGUGUAGAGGUGAAAUUCGUAGAUAUUGGGAAGAACACCGGUGGCGAAGGCGGCGACCUGGUCCGAUACUGACGCUGAGGCGCGAAAGCGUGGGGAGCAAACAGG
RNAcentral lists this ribosomal RNA (253 nucleotides) under uncultured bacterium. RNAcentral describes it as "partial 16S ribosomal RNA". It matches the Rfam family "Bacterial small subunit ribosomal RNA", at positions 524 to 776 of the family's 1533-position model. The record is from RNAcentral.